RNAcentral lists this long non-coding RNA (495 nucleotides) under Phasianus colchicus (ring-necked pheasant). RNAcentral describes it as "lncRNA (ENSPCLG00000021145.1)". Lineage: Eukaryota; Metazoa; Chordata; Aves; Galliformes; Phasianidae. The record is from RNAcentral.
AAAUUCAUAAAAUAAAUACAGUCACUUGUAGAAUAGAUGAAACUUUGAAAAUUUGCACUUUAAUAUAUUUCUUCUUUUAUAGUAUUCAUGGUGUCUGUGUUCAAAAUUAUUCACAGGUAUACACUGAACAUGACAGGAAAACCUGAAAGUUGAGAAAGUUGAGUUCUUUGAGAACUUCAUCUGUAAGAAUAACAGCCAGCAAACUUAUCUGGGCACAGAUCAGUUAACGACCACCUGUUUAUUAAAUGCAUAAAAUAAUAUUUUUAUAAGCAGAUCAUAAAUUUAUACGGCCAAAGACUCUUUUCUUCAAUGUACUUAACUAUGUGAAAAACAAACAGGAGACUUGUUUUUUGGAAGAUAUUCUGAAGAGAAUAAUGGUUGAAAGCAAUGAGGAUGAUGGAUCUCACAGGUAUUAAAUGCGAUCUCUAAAAUUUAUACUGAAUAUUUGCACUGUCUACAAAUAAAUGAAAUAUCACUGGACUUCUAAGGGAGCCA